CGUGGAGAACCUGCCGUAUACUGGGGGAUAACACUUAGAAAUAGGUGCUAAUACCGCAUAAGCGCACAGCUUCGCAUGAAGCAGUGUGGAAAACAAAAAGCUAAAGCUUUUGGUGGUAUACGAUGGAUCCGCGUCUGAUUAGCUUGUUGGCGGGGUAAAGGCCCACCAAGGCGACGAUCAGUAGCCGGCCUGAGAGGGUGAACGGCCACAUUGGGACUGAGACACGGCCCAAACUCCUACGGGAGGCAGCAG
Molecule: ribosomal RNA, 252 nt
Filed under: uncultured bacterium
Lineage: Bacteria
Description: partial 16S ribosomal RNA
Rfam family: Bacterial small subunit ribosomal RNA
Source: RNAcentral